Poecilia latipinna (sailfin molly) is the source of this 123-nucleotide long non-coding RNA. RefSeq lists it as uncharacterized. The record is from RefSeq and is a predicted model, not a curated record. The transcript is spliced from 3 exons. Lineage: Eukaryota; Metazoa; Chordata; Actinopteri; Cyprinodontiformes; Poeciliidae.
UGACAUUUGAUGACCUCUGGAAACUUUUACUAAUAUCUGUAAAAUGAUAGUGGCACAAAAUAAUAUUUUUGCUCCACAAAGGUUUGACAACAAUUUUGUUUGAUUUGAUAAAGACCAGGUGGC